ACUGCUCAGUAACACGUGGACAACCUGCCCUUAGGUUGGGUAUAAACCCGGGAAACUGGGUAUAAUACCCGAUAGGUCUCGAUUGCUGGAAUGCAUCGAGAUUUAAAGCUCCGGCGCCUAAGGAUGGGUCUGCGGCCUAUCAGGUAGUAGUGGGUGUAGCGUACCUACUAGCCUACGACGGGUACGGGUUGUGAGAGCAAGAGCCCGGAGAUGGAUUCUGAGACACGAAUCCAGGCCCUACGGGGUGCAGCAGGCGCGAAAACUUUACAAUGCUGGCAACAGCGAUAAGGGAACCUCGAGUGCCAGGUUACAAAUCUGGCUGUCGAGAUGCCUAAAAAGCAUUUCAUAGCAAGGGCCGGGCAAGACCGGUGCCAGCCGCCGCGGUAACACCGGCGGCUCGAGUGGUAACCGUUAUUAUUGGGUCUAAAGGGUCUGUAGCCGGCCGGAUAAGUCUCUUGAGAAAUCUGGCAGCUUAACUGUCAGGCUUUCAGGAGAUACUGUCUGGCUCGAGGCCGGGAGAGGUGAGAGGUACUUCAGGGGUAGGGGUGAAAUCUUGUAAUCCUUGAAGGACCACCAGUGGCGAAGGCGUCUCACCAGAACGGACCUGACGGCAAGGGACGAAAGCUAGGGGCACGAACCGGAUUAGAUACCCGGGUAGUCCUAGCCGUAAACGAUACCCGCUAGGUGUCGGCCACGGUGCGACCGUUGUCGGUGCCGUAGGGAAGCCGCGAAGCGAGCCACCUGGGAAGUACGGCCGCAAGGCUGAAACUUAAAGGAAUUGGCGGGGGAGCAC
Molecule: ribosomal RNA, 793 nt
Filed under: uncultured archaeon
Lineage: Archaea
Description: bacterial SSU rRNA
Rfam family: Archaeal small subunit ribosomal RNA
Source: RNAcentral